GCAAGUCGAACGAACUUAAUCGAUUCUUUUAGAUUCGAAGCGGUUAGUGGCGGACUGGUGAGUAACACGUAAGCAACCUACCUAUUAGAGGGGAAUAACAGUGAGAAAUCACUGCUAAAACCGCAUAUGCCGUGAAUAUCGCAUGAUAAAAACGGGAAAAGAGCAAUCUGCUAAUAGAUGGGCUUGCGUCUGAUUAGCUAGUUGGUAUGGUAAAGGCAUACCAAGGCAACGAUCAGUAGCCGGACUGAGAGGUUGAAC
RNAcentral lists this ribosomal RNA (258 nucleotides) under uncultured bacterium. Its description in RNAcentral is "partial 16S ribosomal RNA". It matches the Rfam family "Bacterial small subunit ribosomal RNA", at positions 57 to 305 of the family's 1533-position model. The record is from RNAcentral.